This 462-nucleotide ribosomal RNA is filed under the name uncultured bacterium. RNAcentral describes it as "partial 16S ribosomal RNA". It matches the Rfam family "Bacterial small subunit ribosomal RNA", at positions 32 to 507 of the family's 1533-position model. The record is from RNAcentral.
AACCAACGCUGGCGGCGUGCCUAAUACAUGCAAGUCGAACGGGGAAAGUAGCAAUAUGAGUACUAGUGGCGCCCGGGUGAGUAACGCGUGGAUAAUCUGCCUUGAAGAGGGGGAUAACUAGUCGAAAGAUUAGCUAAUACCGCAUAAGACCACAAGAACUGAGGUUCAAGGGGUCAAAGGUUUUUCGCUUCAAGAUGAGUCCGCGUAAGAUUAGCUAGUUGGUGAGGUAAUGGCUCACCAAGGCAACGAUCUUUAACUGGUCUGAGAGGAUGAUCAGUCACACUGGAACUGAGACACGGUCCAGACUCCUACGGGAGGCAGCAGUAGGGAAUAUUGCACAAUGGAGGAAACUCUGAUGCAGCGACGCCGCGUGAGUGAUGAAGGCCUUCGGGUCGUAAAGCUCUGUCGCAGGGGAAUAACACAAUGAAUGUACCCUGUAAGAAAGGAUCGGCUAACUUCGUG